GAAUACCAAAGGCCAAAGAAUCGAAAUCACACCUGGUUGGUGCUAUUCGAUUUGCAUCCGGGUAAUACCAAGGGAAUAUGAGUUGGUUAUCCAUGGGCUGCCGAAAGUUGCCGCCGGCUGUUCCCGUAGAUUUGUGGUUAAUCUUCAUCUGCUUUCAAAAUAUCAGUAAUGAAGUGACGGCGGCUGGGGUGGGGUUGCUUCCACCACCGAGAAGCAGGACAAAGACCAGCUCAUUCCAUAACAGCAAGCAAAAUCAUUCCCGAUUAAAACACGACGAGGAAAAUGGAAAGGCCGUUUACAAGAAGGCAGAUAAAUCAGAUGUCAAACAAAAUUUAAAAAAAUGAAAUAAACACAGUCAGGUAUGGGACCGAUAUUGCGGAAAAAUCUGCGGGACGAGCUGGACCAAAAGAUGAUGGGUUGGACAGGAAAAAUUCUCGGAAACAAAUUCGCACAUAGGAAAAUUUCGUACUACGACCUUUGUUUGAUAUCCAAACGUGGAAGCGUGGGAGCGUAUCGUACGGGUAUGGAGCGCAGAUGAAGAAAAAAAAACGACAAUAAAUGAGCCAGGACUUAACCUUGAUAUCCACUGUCUGCCU
Molecule: long non-coding RNA, 596 nt
Organism: Uranotaenia lowii
Lineage: Eukaryota; Metazoa; Arthropoda; Insecta; Diptera; Culicidae
Exons: 4
Source: RefSeq, a predicted model, not a curated record